Molecule: ribosomal RNA, 234 nt
Filed under: uncultured Lactobacillus sp.
Lineage: Bacteria; Bacillati; Bacillota; Bacilli; Lactobacillales; Lactobacillaceae
Description: partial 16S ribosomal RNA
Rfam family: Bacterial small subunit ribosomal RNA
Source: RNAcentral
GCCCAAGAGAUCGGGAUAACACCUGGAAACAGAUGCUAAUACCGGAUAACAACAGAUGAUGCCUAUCAACUGUUUAAAAGAUGGUUCUGCUGUCACUCUUGGAUGGACCUGCGGUGCAUUAGCUAGUUGGUAGGGUAACGGCCUACCAAGGCGAUGAUGCAUAGCCGAGUUGAGAGACUGAUCGGCCACAUUGGGACUGAGACACGGCCCAAACUCCUACGGGAGGCAGCAGCC